RNAcentral lists this long non-coding RNA (507 nucleotides) under Helianthus annuus (common sunflower). RNAcentral's name for it is "hypothetical non coding rna". The record is from RNAcentral. Lineage: Eukaryota; Viridiplantae; Streptophyta; Magnoliopsida; Asterales; Asteraceae.
UUUAUUAUUAGUAUGCAGCAGCUGUUGUUCCUGAUUAAUAAAAGCUUGAUUUUCUCACUGUUCUUCCUCGGAAGAACAAAAGUGUGGUACGCAACUUGUAAGGGUUUGAAGAAUCAUCAUCCAUAAAAGAUUCCACAACAUGCUUAUAAGGGGCAACAACGUCUUUUUGUAAACUUGCCAUACUUCUGGGAAAACGGGCAAAAUCUGCAACAAUUAGAAUAGAUGCAUUCACUUCUUCCCGAAGAAAUCUGAAAGCGUUGGGAUGGUGCAUGGGAAUCACAUGAUCUCUUCCAGAAGUCCUUUGCCAAUAUUUAGAUUUCCUCAAGAUUUCAAGGAUGUCAACCUGUAAUUUCAUAUAUAUGUUGUUAGGUAUUCAUACAGGGUGAUCACAUGCAUAAAUAAGAUACAUCUAAUAUCUAAGCCGUAUGUGUCAUAAGCAAUCCUAGAAGUUAAAUCCUUCUAAUCCAUAACCGAGGGUCUUUUGUUCUUUAUAAUUACAGAUGUUCA